AAUCAACAAAAAGUUGGGAAAAAUGAUGAGUUCAUUUGACAUUAAACUUGUUAUGCUGUCAAUGAACCUGCUCUUCGUCACCCUAUUAGAAGCAAAGGCGAAUGUAACUAUUAUAGGUAGCGUGGAGAGAGGUACUUCAAGUAUUCAUUGCUAUUCUGGAGAUGAUGAUCUGGGAACCCACAAUCUAGCCUUUGGCCAGUCUUUUAAAUUUAGUUUUGUGCCCCACUUUUGGGGCAAUACUAAGUUUUUUUGCACCUUUACCACUCAAUUCGGUUCAGGAAACUAUUGCGUUUUUGAUCGUCGAAUGGAAUAUGAAAGAUGUGGUCUUAAUUGUGCGUGGUACAUAGAGGAGACCGGGCCAUGUUUAGUGCAAAACUUGCAGCACAACUUGUGGUGUCAAUCAUGGAAGAAUCCAAAAAAAAUUGUUGCAUGAAAUACAUCAUAAUUGAGUAACUAAAUGCAAUUUAUCCUUAAGGCAUUUAUUAUCUUCUAAUUAGUGUUGGCCUGAAUAAUACUGAAAACUUAC
Molecule: long non-coding RNA, 526 nt
Filed under: Olea europaea subsp. europaea
Lineage: Eukaryota; Viridiplantae; Streptophyta; Magnoliopsida; Lamiales; Oleaceae
Source: RNAcentral